GCCCAGGGAGCUAAUGUUGCCCCCACAGCAGCAUGUCCUGAGGUUCAGGUGCUGUUUUCUUACCACCCUUGUGUUCUUCCCACUCCACUUUGCCCUCUACGAGAGCUCAAAUUGCCCCUUAGAGCCACAUUCAGAAUAUUUGUUCGGUCCAUGCUGGUAACAUAGUACAUCUUUCAUCUUUUCUCGUAGGUCAGUUCAAAUGUUUUUAUCUGCAACGAACAGUGCCGUAACUGUAAACACUCUGCCAGCUUGUGUUCAUAGCUACACCAUGACAUCUGCCCUCAGGACUUGCUUGGUCCACAGAGGAGGGGAAACAGGAGCUGACUAUCGAAAAGAUAGUUUGGCCCAUGAAGUUAAGUCACUAGCUGUGAGUUUUGGUUUUGCUUCCCCCAUCAGGUCCUCUGUGAUCGGGCAAUCCUGGGAGAAGAAAUGUGUCUGUACCACCUAAGCACAUCACUCUUCCCUCCAGCUUUUGCAGGCCCCUCCACUGCAGCAUCCCUUUCCCACUGCAGGAACAGAAGCGGAAACUCAGAGAGAAAUCUGUGGACUGCCAGUAAUGAGAUAGAAGCAAGAGCUGAUGAAAGCUUUGAGGUCUUCUCCUCAGGGAGAAGCAGCAUGUCCUUUGGAGGUACUGGAUGCAAGGCCUUCCAGGUGCCCACUGCCAGCUGCAUCCCCAGCAGUGUUUGCUGCCAGGCUUAA
This 699-nucleotide long non-coding RNA is filed under the name Chloebia gouldiae (Gouldian finch). Its description in RNAcentral is "Erythrura gouldiae (Gouldian finch) lncRNA (ENSEGOG00005002268.1)". Lineage: Eukaryota; Metazoa; Chordata; Aves; Passeriformes; Passeridae. The record is from RNAcentral.